CAUCAGAAAUCCCGCUUCAUAUGGUGAGUAAUCAACUGAACAUUUCUUCUAAUUUUCUUUUAAUGCUGUCUAAUUAUAAUUAGCCAUCAUGAAUCCUGAAAACAUAUAUAUCUCACUGUCUGCAUUUAAUUAAAUAAGUAAUUAACUGAAUAUAUCUUCUAAUUUUCCGUUAAUGCUGUUUAAUUAUAAUUAGUCAUCUUGAAUCCUGAAGACAUAUAUAUCUCACUGCCUGCAUUUAAUUUAAUAGUCAUUAGUAAACGGGAGAAAUUUUAGAAUCCACGUUCAUCGAUUUUGUUAGAGUCAUUAAGUAUGGUAAGUCUCAUAUAAGUUUCACCAUAAUUAACCAUCAAAAUCUAUCAUCGUAUUUGCAUAACAAUUUCUCCGGGUGUGGUUAUGGUGGUGGUAGAUGGAUAUAUUUAAUGAGUUCACACAUUAAUAUACAGCUAGGUGAAUACUCGCAUGCGUGUUUAAUUUUCAUUUGCUGAAAUAUUGGAAACAUUUAGACUAUGGAGUUUUCCAAGUUAUGUGGAGAAAUUGUUUUAAAACUGUAGCCAAUAGUCCAACAAUUGUUCUUUUCAACUAUUCCAACAGUAUUCAGAUAUUAUGGUUUAAAAACAGUAAUCAAGCGUUCAUUAGACACGUUAAACUUCAUUUUUGAGUCUUCACCUAUUAAUUUAAUAUUUAGUUACUUAUCUCAAGAAUUAGCUUGCUUAAUUAGUUUAUAAUAAUUAUGUUUGUUUCUCACUUUGUGUCAAAGCCAAAUUAAAUUUAAAAAAAAAAAGUUGAUAUUUUGAGACAUAGGCCAAACAUUUUCAUAAUGUAAAAAAUUUUAAAAAAAAAACUAUGGAAAUCUUAUAUUUAAAAAAAAAUUUGAAAUAAAAAAGGAAAAUUAAAAAUGGUGGUCUAAUAUUGGUCGGAAUAAAUGUAUAUAUGCAGGAUUUGACGAGACAUCAGUGGCA
RNAcentral lists this unclassified non-coding RNA (959 nucleotides) under Hevea brasiliensis (rubber tree). The record is from RNAcentral. Lineage: Eukaryota; Viridiplantae; Streptophyta; Magnoliopsida; Malpighiales; Euphorbiaceae.